GUUAAUUUUAAAUAUCUUUGCAGGUCUACUAUCCCUCCUUAUCAUAGUAAAGGUCCAUCAUUUAGUGUUCAUGAAUUGACGGAUUGGGAAGUGAGAAUUACUAUCCCUCCUUAUCAAAAUGAAGGUCUAUCAUCUAGUGUUCAUGAAUGGAUGGAUUGGGAAGUGAGAACUACUAUCCCUCCUUAUCAAAAUGAAGGUCCAUCAUCUAGUGUUCAUAAAUGGACGGAUUGGGAAGUAAGAACUACUAUCCCUCUUUAUCAAAAUGAAGGUCCAUCAUCUAGUGUUCGUGAAUGGACUAAUCGGGAAGUGACUACAACUGAUAAUGAGGACGUAAUUGGAAGUGAUGAGGAGUAUGUUAUUAAAACUGAUGAAGAGGAUCAAGGGCGAAUUGAUGCUGAUUCUAAUGAUGACGAGGAAUCCUUUGUUCCGUGUUCUUUGGAUCCUGAUAAUGACGGUGGCUUGAAUGCACUUGUAGUGUUCCAGAGGUUUAGAUAGGAUUGGCUUCAGUGUUAGUGACUGGUCGACACAUCUGGAGAGUGUCGGACUGAGUCGGAGUCGUUUCUGCGCAAAAUGGAUGCAUAA
This 582-nucleotide long non-coding RNA is filed under the name Ananas comosus (pineapple). RNAcentral describes it as "long non-coding RNA (ACOM_LNC031438)". Lineage: Eukaryota; Viridiplantae; Streptophyta; Magnoliopsida; Poales; Bromeliaceae. The record is from RNAcentral.